RNAcentral lists this ribosomal RNA (465 nucleotides) under uncultured bacterium. RNAcentral's name for it is "partial 16S ribosomal RNA". It matches the Rfam family "Bacterial small subunit ribosomal RNA", at positions 338 to 795 of the family's 1533-position model. The record is from RNAcentral.
CCUACGGGAGGCAGCAGUGGGGAAUUUUGCGCAAUGCUCGUAAGAGUGACGCAGCGACGCCGCGUGAAUGACGAAGGCCUUCGGGUCGUAAAGUUCUUUCGACAGGGAAGUAAAUGCAUAUAAGUAACUGCGUAUGUAUUUACGGUACCUGUAUAAGCAGCCCCGGCUAACUCCGUGCCAGCAGCCGCGGUAAUACGGAGGGGGCGAGCGUUGUUCGGAGGGACUGGGCGUAAAGAGCACGUAGGCGGUGUUGUAAGUCAUUAGUCAAAGACUCGAGCUCAACUUUAGUAAGGCUAGUGAUACUAUAAUACUAGAGUGUCAGAGAGGAUUGCAGAAUUCCUGGUGUAGCGGUGAAAUGCGUAGAUAUCAGGAGGAAUACCGUUAGCGAAGGCGGCAAUCUGGCUGGAAACUGACGCUGAGGUGCGAAAGCGUGGGUAGCAAACAGGAUUAGAUACCCUUGUAGUC